UUCGCAAUGCCCGAAAGGGUGACGAAGCGACGCCGCGUGCGGGAAGAAGGCCUUCGGGUUGUAAACCGCUGUCGGGAGUUAAGAAAUGUAAGGACGUUAAUAGCAUCUUUGCUUGACUAAGGCUCCGGAGGAAGCCACGGCUAACUCUGUGCCAGCAGCCGCGGUAAUACAGAGGCGGCAAGCGUUGUUCGGAAUUAUUGGGCGUAAAGAGCACGUAGGCGGCUAUGUAAGUCGGUUGUGAAAGCCUUCCGCUCAACGGGAGAACAGCAUCCGAUACUGCAUGGCUUGAGUGCGGGAGGGGAGAGUGGAACUUCUGGUGGAGCGGUGAAAUGCGUAGAUAUCAGAAGGAACGCCGGCGGCGAAAGCGGCUCUCUGGCCCAUAACUGACGCUGAGUGUGCGAAAGCUAGGGGAGCAAACGGGAUUAGAUACCCCGGUAGUCCUAGCCGUAAACGAUGGGCACUAAGUAGAGGGGUUUU
RNAcentral lists this ribosomal RNA (477 nucleotides) under Candidatus Brocadia fulgida. Its description in RNAcentral is "bacterial SSU rRNA". It matches the Rfam family "Bacterial small subunit ribosomal RNA", at positions 365 to 832 of the family's 1533-position model. The record is from RNAcentral. Lineage: Bacteria; Pseudomonadati; Planctomycetota; Candidatus Brocadiia; Candidatus Brocadiales; Candidatus Brocadiaceae.